UGCGGCGUGCCGGGCGACCAGCUCCUGCAAAACCUCCCCAGGGCAGAAAUGCAGCAAGGAUAUGUGGUCGUAGCGGUGUGUUCGGCACACUUUUUAAAA
Molecule: signal recognition particle RNA, 99 nt
Filed under: Saprospiraceae bacterium
Lineage: Bacteria; Pseudomonadati; Bacteroidota; Saprospiria; Saprospirales; Saprospiraceae
Description: signal recognition particle sRNA small type
Rfam family: Bacterial small signal recognition particle RNA
About the family: The signal recognition particle (SRP) is a universally conserved ribonucleoprotein involved in the co-translational targeting of proteins to membranes. Archaeal SRP consists of a 7S RNA and homologues of the eukaryotic SRP19 and SRP54 proteins.
Source: RNAcentral